UGCCAGCAGCCGCGGUAAUACGAAGGGGGAUAGCGUUGUUCGGAAUUACUGGGCGUAAAGCGCACGUAGGCGGAUCAGAAAGUUGGGGGGGAAAUCCCGGGGCUUAACCCCGGAACUGCCCUCAAAACUGUCGAUCUAGAGACCGGGAGAGGUAAGCGGAAUUCCUAGUGUAGAGGUGAAAUUCGUAGAUAUUCGGAGGAACACCAGUGGCGAAGGCGGCUCACUGGCUCGAUACUGACGCUGAGGUGCGAAAGUGUGGUGAGCAAACAGGAUUAGAUA
RNAcentral lists this ribosomal RNA (279 nucleotides) under uncultured bacterium. Its description in RNAcentral is "partial 16S ribosomal RNA". It matches the Rfam family "Bacterial small subunit ribosomal RNA", at positions 506 to 784 of the family's 1533-position model. The record is from RNAcentral.